RNAcentral lists this ribosomal RNA (443 nucleotides) under uncultured bacterium. RNAcentral describes it as "partial 16S ribosomal RNA". It matches the Rfam family "Bacterial small subunit ribosomal RNA", at positions 338 to 795 of the family's 1533-position model. The record is from RNAcentral.
CCUACGGGUGGCAGCAGUGGGGAAUAUUGGGCAAUGGAGGAAACUCUGACCCAGCAACGCCGCGUGAAUGAUGAAGGUCUUCGGAUUGUAAAGUUCUUUUCUCAGGGACGAAGAAAGUGACGGUACCUUAGGAAUAAGCCUCGGCUAACUACGUGCCAGCAGCCGCGGUAAUACGUAGGAGGCGAGCGUUAUCCGGAUUGACUGGGCGUAAAGGGUGCGUAGGUGGGUCGGCAAGUUAGUAGCGUAACUCCAAGGCUCAACCUUGGAACUACAUGUGAAACUGUUGGACUUGAGUGCAGGGGGGGCAACCGGAAUUCCUAGUGGAGCGGUGGAAUGCGUAGAUAUUAGGAGGAACACCAGUGGCGAAGGCGGGUUGCUAGACUGUAACUGACACUGAGGCACGAAAGCGUGGGGAGCAAACAGGAUUAGAUACCCGGGUAGUC